CCAAUAGCGUAUAUUAAAGUUGCUGCAGUUAAAAAGCUCGUAGUUGAAUUUCGGGAUCAAUAUGUUGGUCGUGCCUUGGUACGUACUAGCUUAUUGGUUUCUCCCUUCUGACGAACCAUGAUGUCAUUAAUUUGGUGUCAUGUGGAAUCAGGACUGUUACUUUGAAAAAAUUAGAGUGUUUAAAGCAGGCUCACGCUUGAAUACAUUAGCGUGGAAUAAUGAAAUAGGACAUUUGAUUCUAUUUUGUUGGUUUCUAGGAUCGACGUAAUGAUUAAUAGGGAUAGUUGGGGGCAUUAGUAUUCAAUUGUCAGAGGUGAAAUUCUUGGAUUUAUUGAAGACUAACUACUGCGAAAGCAUUUGCCAAGGAUGUUUUCAUUAAUCAAGAACGAAAGUUAGGGGAUCGAAGACGAUCAGAUACCGUCGUAGUCUUAACCAUAAACUAUGCCGACUAGGGAUCGGAUGAUGUUAAUUUUUUAAUGACUCAUUCGGCGCCUUACG
This 498-nucleotide ribosomal RNA is filed under the name uncultured Glomeromycotina. RNAcentral describes it as "partial small subunit ribosomal RNA". It matches the Rfam family "Eukaryotic small subunit ribosomal RNA", at positions 591 to 1092 of the family's 1831-position model. The record is from RNAcentral. Lineage: Eukaryota; Fungi; Glomeromycota.